CGUUUUAUAUUAUUAGUGUUGAAUUUUUGUUUCAUCCAACACUUUUAGUCUGAAAUGAG
This 59-nucleotide microRNA precursor is filed under the name Panagrellus redivivus. Its description in RNAcentral is "microRNA prd-mir-7937 precursor". The record is from miRBase by way of RNAcentral. Lineage: Eukaryota; Metazoa; Nematoda; Chromadorea; Rhabditida; Panagrolaimidae.